RNAcentral lists this long non-coding RNA (2954 nucleotides) under Sus scrofa (pig). RNAcentral describes it as "lncRNA (ENSSSCG00055026158.1)". Lineage: Eukaryota; Metazoa; Chordata; Mammalia; Artiodactyla; Suidae. The record is from RNAcentral.
AGACUUAGUUAUUUUCUUUAAUGUUAGUUUAAUAGAGGAGCUGUGAUGUAUAUGUAAUGCUAACAACAUGGAAUUCUAAAUAAUAAACAUAACUCCAAUUAUGUAAAUGAGAGAUACCUACAUUGGAGUUAAUAAGUUAUUUGUAGCUUUAAGAGCCAGAAAGAGCCAGAUUUUAUUAACAACCUAUGGAAUGUUUUUGGUAGGUUAGCAUUUGUUAUUUCUUCCAAGAUAUAUUUUAAUCAUAAUAUUUAAAUUUGAGUGUGAACCCUAGUGAUACCUAUUUAUUCCCAUAGUCUGUCUGAAGAAGUAAGUAGGUGAGCAUGGAGGAGAAUUUAAAAUGCUUAUCUUGGUGUUCCCGUCAUGGCCACAGUGGAAAUGAAUCCAACUAGGAAUCAUGAGGUUACUGCUUUGAUCCCUGGCUUUGCUCAGUGGGUUAAGGAUCUGGCAUUACCAUGAGCUGUGAUGUUAAGUCCGCAGACGCGGCUCAGAUUUGGUGGUGCUGUGGCUCUGGCAUCAGCUGGCAACUGUAGCUCUGAUUUGACCCCUAGCCUGGGACCCUCCAUAUGCUGUGGGUGUGGCCCUAAAAAGAAAAAACAAGAUGCCUAUCCUAAGUAGAAGACCUGGAAGGUCAGGUUCUUAUGAAACCACAAAGCACCACACCUACUUGGAAAACCAGUUUGUGCUGAGCAGGAACAUGCAACUGGGACUGAGCUGGGGUGGAUUCUUUCAAUUUCUUUCAAUUUCUUUCCCUUUGCGUGUUUUCCACCCUAUCAGUCAUUUCAAAGGCACAUGGAUUUAAAUAGUGACAGACACAUUUGAUACUUUACCCUUUAGCCCAGUAGAGUGUGUCUACUUUCCUCACAAUAAUGAGGAAUUUGCAAUAUCACAAGAUCUAAAAACAUUUAUAGAAUAAAAGCCAGGCUUAUAAACCUUGUAUUACUGUAUGCUAUUAUUGUGCUAUGUUAAAUGGAUAUACUCUGUUUUUUCCCUAGAGGAAAUCGUAGUUUGAAUUCUAACUAAUAAGUAUUUAAUUGAAAAGAUGUGUUUGAAAUGGAUUUCAUAGAUAUUUUUCUGGAACGGGCUAGCACUUAGGAGAAGUUAGACUUUAAUUUCUUCCUCCCAUUUUCCAUAUAUAGUAUGUUAUAUACCUUCUACUUUUCAUAAUAUAUGAUGUGAUCAAAAUUUGGUAUUAUACUAAUAUAAUUUGUUGAAGUGAAUUUGACCUGAUUUGAAUUAAAAGCUCUUUGGAAAUGAAUAUGUUAGGAACUAGAAAUGCUCCUAUAGGUGUUCCUGGAUACUGUACUAGUUCUCUCAUAGACUUUUUGCAUUAUUCCAUCAAAUAGGAAAUAACUGAAACCCCUCAAGCCCAAGUUAUACUUUUUUUUGGGGGGAGGCGGUAAUUUACUGUUUUGGAAUUGAAAAUGCAUUUCUUCCUUUGAAACCCAUGUAGUACAUUGAGCGAGGUUCCUAGGACAGAAUUUCCAGAGAUCUUUUCAUCCUAAAAUGGGAGGCCUUGUCUGAUUUCUGGAUCAUUGUUGACAACUACAUAACUGGAAAUGAGAAGAAGCCCUAGAAAAGAGAAUUCCAGAGGGAUUUCACCUUACAAUAUUGCUGAAUUAAUGAUACUUUGAAAAAAGCACUACGUUGCUAAAGCAGAUCUUAAUAUGUUCCUGUACCAUCAUCAUAAUGAUAUGUAAAAGUUUUUUUCCUGUAGCUCUUUCUCAAUCUCAACCUUUUGCCCCUCCCUUUUUUUUUUUUUUUUUUGGUCUCAAUUUCCUCACUUAUUUCCAUUUUAAUAUAUAGUACUGGUAUUUUUAUAUGCUAUCAAUCGCUUUGUAAUAAAACAGAAAUAAUUUUUAAAAGUAUCACAUUUAAGAUGUAUUAGAAACCACUAACAGAGCAAUUGGGAAAGAUGGAAUAGAGCACUAGACUUGGGCUCAGGUUCUAGCACCACAAUUUUCCAAUUCAGGGCCAAAACUUUGGCCUCUCUCAAGAGACUAUUUUUCUCAUAUACUCUAAGAUCUUAAUGCUGAUUAAGUCAUGUUAUAUUUGGGAAAGUAUAUGGCAUAAACUAGAAAGAUAAUUACAUAUUAGUUGAAUCUAUAUCAGGUUUUCAUAGGUUAGGGAAAAUAUAUUGUGGUUUUUCUUCCUUUUUAAAUCUGUUAUUCCUGUGACCGAAUUGUUACAGUUUGGUGCAUUCACUAGGAAUGAGUCUAGGCAUUCUGGAUUUUGAGCAUUUGUGAAAAAUCUAAUGAAUGCCACAUCGGUGCUGUGCCCAGAGAGCUUCCUCUAGAGAAGGCUUAUUCCUUGAACUUCCAUGUUGCAUCAGUGCCAGUAGACAGAACCUAUGACAAGAGGAAGCCUUCUCCAAGCCUCCAAAGCAGCACCCUGAAACAUAUAUUCUUAUAGACUUUGUGCUAUAUAGUAUUGAUUUGUCAUGGUUUUCCUUCAAAAGCCAUUUUAUUCUUAACACAAUUAAACAACAGUGCAAUUGUGAGAAUAUAACUAUACUCCCUGUAUUUCUUGUUACAAAUGGGCCUUUCCCUGAGGUGGGUCUAGGCUCUUUUAUGGAGACCUGUCAUCUUCAUGUUGGCCUUUGUUCUGAGCCAGCUUUUUCUAAAGACUGGAACUUCCUUCAGUCUGUUUCAUAUCCAAGCCAAAAAACUCUGUACCCAUGAACUCUAUUAAUGAAGCUGUAUUAUACUGUGAUUGGAAACCUUUUUGGGAGUUCCCUUGUGGCUCAGCAGAAACUAAUCUGACUAGCAUCCUUCAGAAUGCAGGUUCACUCCUUGGCCCCGCUCAGUGGAUUAAGGAUCCGGCUUUGCUGUGAACUGUGGUGUAGAUCACAGAUGGGGCUCAGAUCCUCCGUUGGUGUGGCUAUGGCGUAGGCCUGCAGCUAUAGCUCCAAUUUGACCCUUAUUCUGGGAACCUCCACAUGCCAUGGGUGUGGCCCU